UCAAAAUAAUAAACAUCACCAGUAUCAUUGGCUGUCUGUCUUUCACCAACAGACGGACGGUCUCUCUAAGCUGGGAGA
Molecule: small nuclear RNA, 78 nt
Organism: Eremothecium sinecaudum
Lineage: Eukaryota; Fungi; Ascomycota; Saccharomycetes; Saccharomycetales; Saccharomycetaceae
Source: RefSeq, a predicted model, not a curated record